RNAcentral lists this ribosomal RNA (253 nucleotides) under uncultured bacterium. Its description in RNAcentral is "partial 16S ribosomal RNA". It matches the Rfam family "Bacterial small subunit ribosomal RNA", at positions 524 to 776 of the family's 1533-position model. The record is from RNAcentral.
UACGAAGGGGGCUAGCGUUGUUCGGAAUUACUGGGCGUAAAGCGCACGUAGGCGGAUCUUUAAGUCAGGGGUGAAAUCCUGGAGCUCAACUCCAGAACUGCCUUUGAUACUGAGGACCUUGAGUUCGGGAGAGGUGAGUGGAACUGCGAGUGUAGAGGUGAAAUUCGUAGAUAUUCGCAAGAACACCAGUGGCGAAGGCGGCUCACUGGCCCGAUACUGACGCUGAGGUGCGAAAGCGUGGGGAGCAAACAGG